Non-coding RNA from Rhodocollybia butyracea, 89 nucleotides. Lineage: Eukaryota; Fungi; Basidiomycota; Agaricomycetes; Agaricales; Omphalotaceae. The record is from the annotation of a GenBank genome assembly.
GUCCGCGUAGCUCAGUGGUAGAGCGCGAGAUUGCAAUCGUUAUAUAGCAGGGAAUCUUGAGGUCGCGUGUUCGACCCACGCCGCGGACU